AUGAUAGCAUUGCUAAUUGCACAUAUAUAUGAUGCAAUAUCGACUCAGUCGAAUAAAGUUCUGGGUAUAAUUAUGAUAAUGACAUUUAUUACCCAUGUGUCUUGACCAAAUUACGUGCCAGCAGUCGCGGUAAUACGUAGAAGACUAGUGUUAUUCAUCUUUAAUAGGUUUAAAGGGUACCUAGACGGUAGAUAAAGCCCCUGCAUAGCAUGACGGAACUAAUUUACUAGAGUUACUUACGCGGGGGUUUUAAAGUACUAAUGGUGUAGAGAUAAAAUUUUGUAAUACCAUUUUUCGAAAGAAAAGUAUUGGCACUGGUAAAGGCGAAAGCAUCCCCUUAUGUGAUAACUGACGUUGAAGGACGAAGG
RNAcentral lists this ribosomal RNA (368 nucleotides) under Biatora pontica. RNAcentral's name for it is "SSU rRNA". It matches the Rfam family "Bacterial small subunit ribosomal RNA", at positions 414 to 759 of the family's 1533-position model. The record is from RNAcentral. Lineage: Eukaryota; Fungi; Ascomycota; Lecanoromycetes; Lecanorales; Ramalinaceae.